Molecule: unclassified non-coding RNA, 2313 nt
Filed under: Arthroleptis xenodactyloides (Chirinda screeching frog)
Lineage: Eukaryota; Metazoa; Chordata; Amphibia; Anura; Arthroleptidae
Description: partial contains 12S ribosomal RNA, tRNA-Val, and 16S ribosomal RNA
Rfam family: Bacterial large subunit ribosomal RNA (bases 1921-2313)
Source: RNAcentral
UUAUCUUUAGAAAAGGAGUUGGUAUUAGGCACAGACUUCUAGCCCAUAACACCUAGCAUCGCCACACCCUCAAGGGUACUCAGCAGUGAUAAACAUUGACACUAAGCGACAGCUUGACUCAGUUAAAGUACAGAAAGCCGGCCAACCCGGUGCCAGCCGCCGCGGCUACACCAUCGGGCUUAAAUUGAUAACUACGGCGUUAAGCGUGUUUAAAGUAACAAAAACUUUAGAAUUAAAUCUAAGCCAAGCUGUGAAAUGCUUGCCCCUCAGAAAUACAUAAUAUUCUAACAUCCACUUGAAUCCACGACAAUUAAGAAACAAACUGGGAUUAGAUACCCCACUAUGCUUAACCGUAAAAUAUAAAAAUUACACCACCAAAUCGCCAGAACACUACAAGUAAACAACUUAAAAUUCAAAGGACUUGACGGCGUCUCACCUACCUAGAGGAGCCUGUUCUAUAAUCGAUAUUCCCCGAUAUACCCUACCACUUUUUGCCUUAUCAGUCUAUAUACCUCCGUCGUAAGCUUACCAUAUGAAUGUUAAUUAGUGAGCAAAAAGAUUUAUACACCCAUACGUCAGGUCAAGGUGCAACCUAAAAAAUGGAAUGAAAUGGGCUACAGUUUCUAAUUUAGAACCUACGAAUAAUCACAUGAAAAAUGAUGAUGAAGGCGGAUUUAGAAGUAAGGAGUGAUUAAAAUGCCCUCCUUAAUUUAAGCAAUGAGACGCGUACACACCGCCCGUCACCCUCUUCAAUAUAACCUUUAACUGUUUAUAACCAUACACUUUACUAAAGAAGAGGUAAGUCGUAACAUGGUAAGCAUACUGGAAAGUGUGCUUUGAAUAACAAAAUAUAGCUUAAUUUAAAGCAUUUCGCUUACACCGAACUUAUACCUGUUUAAUUCAGGUUAUUUUGAGCUUAAACUCCGCCAAUUAAUUACCCAAUUUUUUCUCCUCUCUCCCCACAUCCUAAAACAUUUUAACAAUUUAGUAAAAGUGAUUGAAAACUUAAUAAGAGCCCGCAUAAAGUACCGCAAGGGAAAAAUGAAAUAGAAAUGAAAUAAACAAAAAGCAAAUAAAAGCAGAGAUUUACACUCGUACCUUUUGCAUCAUGGUCUAGCUAGUCUUUUACAAGCAAAUUAUUCUAUUCAGCUUGUACCCCCGAAACCAAGCGAGCUACUCAAAAACAGCCUAAAGGGCCAACCCGUCUCUGUAGCAAAAGAGUGGGAAGAUUUUUAAGUAGAGGUGAAAUGCCUACCGAGCCUGGAGAUAGCUGGUUGCUCAAGAAAAGAAUUUUAGUUCCCCCUCAAAUUUUUACUAUAACCACAAAUAUAAAAUAACUUUGAGAGCCAUUCAAAUACGGUACAGCCUAUUUGAUAAUGAAUACAAUCAUAAACUUAGGGUAAUAUUAUUAUACUAUUUCAACCUAGUUGGCCUAAAAGCAGCCACCUCAUACAAAGAGCGUUACAGCCUAACUGAUUUAUUUUGUAAUACCAACCUUCACAUAAAACCCUACCCCAAUACUGAGCACUUUUAUAACCUAUAAAUAAUAUUAUGCUAGAACUAGUAACAAGAAAAUUUCUCCAAAAUGUAAGUAUAACUCAAAUAUGAACUUUAUUAUAAUAUAUGUAAUAACUUAUCCAGAAACCCUUACAACCAUAUAAUAUUAAACUUACACAAGAACAUUCCCGGAAAGAUUAAAAUAAAAAGAAGGAACUCGGCAAACCUUAGUCUCGCCUGUUUACCAAAAACAUCACCUCUUGAUCAACUAUAAGAGGCCCAGCCUGCCCAGUGAUUAUUUCAACGGCCGCGGUACCCUAACCGUGCAAAGGUAGCACAAUCACUUGUUCUUUAAAUAAGGACUAGUAUGAACGGCACCACGAAGACCAUGCUGUCUCCUUUCUCUAAUCAGUGAAACUGAUCUCCCCGUGAAGAAGCGGGGAUUAUUCUAUAAGACGAGAAGACCCUAUGAAGCUUAAAAUUUACAUCAACUGCCACCCACACACCACCUCAACCUGACAGACCUGAUUAUUAAUUUUUGGUUGGGGUGACCACGGAGCAAAAUUAAACCUCCACAAUGAAAGGACUAAACCCCCUAAUUCAAGAAUUACACCUCUAAAAAUCAAUAUAUUGACAUAAAUUGAUCCAAACCUUUGAUCAAUGAACCAAGUUACUCUAGGGAUAACAGCGCAAUCCAUUUCAAGAGCCCCUAUCGACAAAUGGGUUUACGACCUCGAUGUUGGAUCAGGGUGUCCCAGUGGUGCAACCGCUACUAAAGGUUCGUUUGUUCAACGAUUAAAACCCUACGUGAUCUGA